RNAcentral lists this ribosomal RNA (540 nucleotides) under Triticum aestivum (bread wheat). RNAcentral describes it as "partial small subunit ribosomal RNA". The record is from RNAcentral. Lineage: Eukaryota; Viridiplantae; Streptophyta; Magnoliopsida; Poales; Poaceae.
AUGAUCCUCUGUCUCAGCGGCCGCCAGCUCGGCUUUGACCGCCACCUAAUCGUGCCUAGGGUGAAUACUAGUCCAUUCGGGUUUUUUUUGGUAAAAACGCCGGAACAAUGCGGGAGCGCGUCUGAGUUCCUUCGCUCCCUCGGCCUCGGCCUCGACGACCUCGCCGCCUACCCGCUCGCCCUCGGCUGCAGCGUCCGCAAGAACAUGGUCCCCGUCCUCGACUACCUCGGCAAGAUCGGCGUCCGCCGCGACGAGCUCCCGCACCUGCUCCACCGUCACCCGCAGGUGCUCCACGCCAGCAUCAUCGUCGACCUUGCGUCCGUCGUUAAGUACCUCCAGGGGAUGGACGUCAAGCCCGGCGACGUGUCGCGCGUGCUCGAGCGCUACCUCGGCUGCAUGCUCGAGGGCACCAUGAGCACCUCCGUCGCCUACCUCGUCGGCAUCGGCGUCGCCAGGCGCCACGCUGAGCUGCUCACAAGAGAUCUUUAUUCAGCCGGCGCUGCCGCCAAGACGCCAUGGCGAUUGGCGAAGCCCCACUGA